Molecule: ribosomal RNA, 440 nt
Filed under: uncultured bacterium
Lineage: Bacteria
Description: partial 16S ribosomal RNA
Rfam family: Bacterial small subunit ribosomal RNA
Source: RNAcentral
CCUACGGGUGGCAGCAGUGGGGGAUAUUGCACAAUGGGGGGAACCCUGAUGCAGCGACGCCGCGUGGGUGAAGAAGCGCCUCGGCGCGUAAAGCCCUGUCAGCAGGGAAGAACAUAACGGUACCUGAAGAAGAAGCCGCGGCUAACUACGUGCCAGCAGCCGCGGUAAUACGUAGGGGGCAAGCGUUAUCCGGAUUUACUGGGUGUAAAGGGGGCGCAGACGGCGAUGCAAGCCAGGGGUGAAAGACCGGGGCCCAACCCCGGGGCUGCCCUUGAAACAGCGUGGCUAGAGUGCAGGAGGGGCAAGCGGAAUUCCUGGUGUAGCGGUGAAAUGCGUAGAUAUCAGGAGGAACACCGGUGGCGAAGGCGGCCUACUGGACUGCAACUGACGUUGAGGCCCGAAAGCGUGGGGAGCAAACAGGAUUAGAUACCCUAGUAGUC